ACGCUCAGGACGAACGCUGGCGGCGUGCCUAAUACAUGCAAGUCGAACGCUUCUUUCCUCCCGAGUGCUUGCACUCAAUUGGAAAGAGGAGUGGCGGACGGGUGAGUAACACGUGGGUAACCUACCCAUCAGAGGGGGAUAACACUUGGAAACAGGUGCUAAUACCGCAUAACAGUUUAUGCCGCAUGGCAUAAGAGUGAAAGGCGCUUUCGGGUGUCGCUGAUGGAUGGACCCGCGGUGCAUUAGCUAGUUGGUGAGGUAACGGCUCACCAAGGCCACGAUGCAUAGCCGACCUGAGAGGGUGAUCGGCCACACUGGGACUGAGACACGGCCCAGACUCCUACGGGAGGCAGCAGUAGGGAAUCUUCGGCAAUGGACGAAAGUCUGACCGAGCAACGCCGCGUGAGUGAAGAAGGUUUUCGGAUCGUAAAACUCUGUUGUUAGAGAAGAACAAGGACGUUAGUAACUGAACGUCCCCUGACGGUAUCUAACCAGAAAGCCACGGCUAACUACGUGCCAGCAGCCGCGGUAAUACGUAGGUGGCAAGCGUUGUCCGGAUUUAUUGGGCGUAAAGCGAGCGCAGGCGGUUUCUUAAGUCUGAUGUGAAAGCCCCCGGCUCAACCGGGGAGGGUCAUUGGAAACUGGGAGACUUGAGUGCAGAAGAGGAGAGUGGAAUUCCAUGUGUAGCGGUGAAAUGCGUAGAUAUAUGGAGGAACACCAGUGGCGAAGGCGGCUCUCUGGUCUGUAACUGACGCUGAGGCUCGAAAGCGUGGGGAGCAAACAGGAUUAGAUA
This 793-nucleotide ribosomal RNA is filed under the name uncultured Enterococcus sp. RNAcentral's name for it is "bacterial SSU rRNA". It matches the Rfam family "Bacterial small subunit ribosomal RNA", at positions 20 to 784 of the family's 1533-position model. The record is from RNAcentral. Lineage: Bacteria; Bacillati; Bacillota; Bacilli; Lactobacillales; Enterococcaceae.